Molecule: ribosomal RNA, 425 nt
Filed under: uncultured bacterium
Lineage: Bacteria
Description: partial 16S ribosomal RNA
Rfam family: Bacterial small subunit ribosomal RNA
Source: RNAcentral
GUGGGGAAUCUUGCGCAAUGGGCGAAAGCCUGACGCAGCCAUGCCGCGUGAAUGAUGAAGGUCUUAGGAUUGUAAAAUUCUUUCACCGGGGACGAUAAUGACGGUACCCGGAGAAGAAGCUCCGGCUAACUUCGUGCCAGCAGCCGCGGUAAUACGAAGGGGGCUAGCGUUGCUCGGAAUUACUGGGCGUAAAGGGCGCGUAGGCGGACAGCUUAGUCAGAGGUGAAAGCCCAGGGCUCAACCUUGGAAUUGCCUUUGAUACUGGCGAUCUUGAGACCGGAAGAGGUGAGUGGAACUCCGAGUGUAGAGGUGGAAUUCGUAGAUAUUAGGAAGAGCACCAGUGGCGAAGGCGGCUCACUGGUCCGGUACUGACGCUGAGGUGCGAAAGCGUGGGGAGCAAACAGGAUUAGAAACCCCGGUAGUCC